AAAAAGAAACAUUAUUGUAAGAGGAUAAUAUUGUAAAAGUAAGUUAAAAGAAACAAAAAGUAACAGUAGGGAUAUCAAUAAUUUAAGGGUAUAGAUGUUUUGAGGCAUUUUUAAAAAUAUAGAGACUAAAUAAGCACUAAUAUUAAAAUAUAAGGAUGAAACGAACUUUUACCCUCGAAAACCCAACAUUUAAACUUUUACAAGGAGAAACAAAAUAAUUAAUUUUAUCUCCAAAAAUAAAAUAACACCACCAAACAUCUACAUAUACUGCUUUUGCUUUUGAAGUAAAAUUAUCGAUCCCAACUAAAAAUAGGUUCAAACUUGUAGAUUUUCUCAUGUGAUGAUACAUGGUUUUCACAUGUUAUGUUUGAUAUCAUAUUUUUUUAAAAAGAAAAAGAAAAACGAAAUUACUUAUGCACAAGAGCACCAGACACAUAAUUGAUUGUGAAGGGGACAAGAAUCCCAAAAAAAGAAACAUUGUUUCAUGAGAUAUGAAAUAUUAGUGAUAAUGAAGUUCGAUGAUAGGGGAACAUGCUAGGUCCCUGUGAGAUCGACAAAAUUAACUGUUUAUCAUUCUAAUCUUGUGCCAAUAUGGCUCCACUCUAGUCUUAUGACCAUCAAAUUUCCCGUUUUUGUUAAUUAUUCUCUAUUUUUCUAAUAAUGCAUUGAUGCCCGCUCACUCUCCCAACAAAUUAAUUGAUAUGUCUCUCCAAAUAAAGGAGAGGGGAGAUACAUUUUAGUAUAUAUCGAAAUAGUAAUUUAGAAUGCAUCGCAAUAGUAAUAAUAUUGAUUGGUUUUAAUAGAUUUUUAAUUGUAUAUAUCACCAUGAUAGUGAUUACAAGAUAAUAAUAAAACUUUGACGACAUCCGAAUUGUUUUUUUGUUUGGACCAACUUAUAUAUAAUAAUAAAGAUUUUGAGAAUAUCCAUAUUAGAGACUAACUGCAAUUUUACGUAAGCUGCUUUAUUGUUAGGACCCCAUCCCAUGGGAUAACUCUGGUUGAGAAGCAAGGAUUAUUACCCAUGGCCAUGGUGUUUUUGGCAAUUGGUCGAAUAAUGACCCUGCCCAGCCCCACGAACAGUAUUUGCAUAAAAAGUGUUGAUUGAUUAUCUGUGACAAGUUGUACGAUCCAUUAUAAGUGUGUCGGCUUAAUCUUCUUCUACAUCUAAGCCAACAAAAUAGCACACCUUCUG
This 1192-nucleotide long non-coding RNA is filed under the name Citrus x clementina. RNAcentral describes it as "Citrus clementina (C. clementina) long non-coding RNA (CCLE_LNC004301)". The record is from RNAcentral. Lineage: Eukaryota; Viridiplantae; Streptophyta; Magnoliopsida; Sapindales; Rutaceae.